CCUUGCAACCUCCGCCCCAAGAGUCUUCGCCGCCGGCCAGCGCCACCAUCUUCUCGCAGUGCAAGCAGUCAGCGGCUCAGCGCCUUGUCUACUAACUUGUCGGAGACCCAGUGCCGCUUCAUCGUCGUUGAGCUAGUGGCGCCGCAGCCUCCCCGCGGACGCGGUGCCGGCCGCAGCCGUAGUCUUCUCGUGGAUCCGCCGGCCAACACCACCACCAACCAUCUCGUCCACGACCAUCUCCCCGCUUCUCGUGGCUGCUGCUCGUCGGCUCCUCCACACCUCUCCAGUUGGUACUGCUAUGCUCUGUGCGUAGGAUACACACUGAUCCACUACUUCAUCCACUCCAUGCAGUACACCUGUCAAAUGUGCCUGCUUUGACUGUUUUGUAUACAACAAUACAAGUACCCACCUCUUUCCUCUUGAGAUGUACCCACCUCUCCAUCAACCCCUUUCCUUCUCUCUAGGUGAGUAUUAAAGGUGCACAUGAGCUAGCUAUAUAAUUUUUUUUUGUCUUUCUUCAAUUCACAUGCAUAGAAAAGUUCUAUUAGUUUCUCUGUUAAAUUGUCUAUAUCCAGCUUUACCUUCGUAUCACAUCCAGCUAAAUUGUUCCUUUUCCGUUCACAGGGUGCAUCCUAAACUGCCAGGAUAUAUGCCAUGUGGUAUGCGUUAUUUUUUGCGUGCACGUGUGGAUCAUGACAUGACAUUGCUACAUGCAUGACUGUCCCUUUCGGUUAUAUCUCCAGGAUGGCAUCAGUAUGCACCCCUAGCCUUAGAAGCAACACCAUUUGUUUAGAACCUCUGCAUUAUAGCCACUAAUGUAAAUAGCUGUUGUCAUAUAUAUGGUGUUUGCUUCUUAAAAUCCUUUUGCUUUACAUAAAACUGCAAUCCAGACUAUGAACGAACACUUAUGGUUGAAAUCCUAUAGCUCUUAAUUAUUAUUACUCUGAAUGUCUACUACUUUGCUAUGCUCCUUAUUUUCAGGGUAAACAUGUGCCAUGAAAAAUUGCAUUAGUCAGCCAGCUAUUGUUGAUAAUCUGACGUGAGCUACAUUUUUGUUAGGCUACGUUACUGUUGUUAUGGAAAAAUGGAAAGGUAUUAAACUGAGGUACUAUUGUUGCUAAUCUAGCAUGAGCUAGAUUUUUGUUGGGCUACAUUACUGUUGUUAUGGGAAAAUGGAAAGGUAUUAAGCAGGGGUACAAAUUUGUUGCUAAUCUGGGAUCAACUACAUUUUUUCCCAGUUAGAGUCGUCAUCUCUAGCAGCAUCAGCUUUAUAGAUCUUUGAUCUUAGUUAAUCCUAUUGCAUAGUGCUAUUUUGCCUUAAUUUUCCUUUCUUAUCUUCCGAAAUAGCAUAUCUUCACUUUCCUAAUUAUUUUCUACAAUAAUAUAA
RNAcentral lists this long non-coding RNA (1387 nucleotides) under Oryza sativa Indica Group (long-grained rice). Its description in RNAcentral is "lncRNA OsZS97_11G024200". The record is from RNAcentral. Lineage: Eukaryota; Viridiplantae; Streptophyta; Magnoliopsida; Poales; Poaceae.